This 386-nucleotide ribosomal RNA is filed under the name uncultured bacterium. RNAcentral describes it as "bacterial SSU rRNA". It matches the Rfam family "Bacterial small subunit ribosomal RNA", at positions 30 to 414 of the family's 1533-position model. The record is from RNAcentral.
AUUGAACGCUGGCGGCACGCCUUACACAUGCAAGUCGAACGGCAGCACGGGAGCUUGCUCCUGGUGGCGAGUGGCGAACGGGUGAGUAAUACAUCGGAACGUACCCUGAAGUGGGGGAUAACGUAGCGAAAGUUACGCUAAUACCGCAUAUUCUGUGAGCAGGAAAGAGGGGGAUCGCAAGACCUCUUGCUUUAGGAGCGGCCGAUGUCGGAUUAGCUAGUUGGUGAGGUAAAGGCUCACCAAGGCGACGAUCCGUAGCGGGUCUGAGAGGAUGAUCCGCCACACUGGGACUGAGACACGGCCCAGACUCCUACGGGAGGCAGCAGUGGGGAAUUUUGGACAAUGGGCGCAAGCCUGAUCCAGCCAUGCCGCGUGAGUGAAGAAGG